This 427-nucleotide long non-coding RNA is filed under the name Setaria viridis. RNAcentral describes it as "long non-coding RNA (SVIR_LNC006676)". Lineage: Eukaryota; Viridiplantae; Streptophyta; Magnoliopsida; Poales; Poaceae. The record is from RNAcentral.
AUCGACUUUAACUUAUCUAUAGUGCUAUCCUUAGGAAUCCUCUCUACCCUCACCACCUAUCUUGGUGUGUCCUUGGACUGACUAGAAUAGAAGUUAGUGCAAACGCGUUCCCUUGGAUUCGAUACCCUUAGAAUACUCUGAGGUGAAAGCUACAAUAGUAUCCAUGUGCUUGCGGAUUUAUUCAAAUUCGUUAAUUAUACCAACAAGCUUUCUGGCGCCAUUGCCAGGGAACAAUUGUUGUAUCUUUCUUCGUACCUAAUUGUCCUCGUAUCUUUUUAGUUUUCUUUCCUUCUACCUUUACCCCCGCUACCCAUGGAGAAGCCAUCCUUUCAAAGCCUCUCUACCCCAAAGGGUGAGUUCUUAGAGCCACCACCCUCUGUGCAACAAAUCCUUACAUCCGGCUGUGAACUCUGCCCUAACAUACUCG